GACGUACGCUGGCGGCGUGCUUAACACAUGCAAGUCGAACGGAAAGGCCCUGCUUUUGUGGGGUGCUCGAGUGGCGAACGGGUGAGUAACACGUGAGUAACCUGCCCUUGACUUUGGGAUAACUUCAGGAAACUGGGGCUAAUACCGGAUAGGAGCUCCUGCUGCAUGGUGGGGGUUGGAAAGUUUCGGCGGGUGGGGAUGGACUCGCGGCUUAUCAGCUUGUUGGUGGGGUAGUGGAUUACCAAGGCUUUGACGGGUAGCCGGCCUGAGAGGGUGACCGGCCACCUUGGGACUGCGAUACGGCCCAGACUCCUACGGGAGGCAGCAGUGGGGAAUCUUGCACAAUGGGCGGAAGCCUGAUGCAGCAACGCCGCGUUCGGGAUGACGGCCUUCGGGUUGUAAACCGCUUUCGCCUGUGACGAAGCGUGAGUGACGGUAAUGGGUAAAGAAGCACCGGCUAACUACGUG
Molecule: ribosomal RNA, 468 nt
Filed under: uncultured bacterium
Lineage: Bacteria
Description: partial 16S ribosomal RNA
Rfam family: Bacterial small subunit ribosomal RNA
Source: RNAcentral